UACAUAGGUGGCGAGCGUUAUCCGGAAUUAUUGGGCGUAAAGAGCGCGCAGGUGGUUGAUUAAGUCUGAUGUGAAAGCCCACGGCUUAACCGUGGAGGGUCAUUGGAAACUGGUCGACUUGAGUGCAGAAGAGGGAAGUGGAAUUCCAUGUGUAGCGGUGAAAUGCGUAGAGAUAUGGAGGAACACCAGUGGCGAAGGCGGCUUCCUGGUCUGUAACUGACACUGAGGCGCGAAAGCGUGGGGAGCAAACAGGAUUAGAUA
RNAcentral lists this ribosomal RNA (261 nucleotides) under uncultured prokaryote. Its description in RNAcentral is "partial 16S ribosomal RNA". It matches the Rfam family "Bacterial small subunit ribosomal RNA", at positions 524 to 784 of the family's 1533-position model. The record is from RNAcentral.